GAUGAACGCUGGCGGCGUGCCUAAUACAUGCAAGUCGAGCGAACAGACGAGGAGCUUGCUCCUCUGACGUUAGCGGCGCACGGGUGAGUAACACGUGGAUAACCUACCUAUCAGACUGGGAUAACUUCGGGAAACCGGCGCUAAUACCGGAUAAUAUAUUGAACCGCAUGGUUCAAUGGUGAAAGACGGUUUUGCUGUCACUUAUAGAUGGAUCCGGGCGGCAUUAGCUAGUUGGUAAGGUCACGGCCUACCAAGGCAACGAUGCGUAGCCGACGGGAGGGGGGGAUAGCCGACCUUGGAGCUGAGACGCGGACCAGAGUACUACGGGAGGCAGCAGUAGGGAAUCUUCGGCAGCGGGGGGAAGCUUGACGGAGUGACGCGGAGCGAGAGAUGAAGGUGCUCGGUGCGUAAAGCUCUGUUAUGGGGGAAGAACAAAUGUGUAAGUAACUAUGGACGGCGUGACGGUACCUAAUCAGAAAGCCACGGCUAACUACGUG
Molecule: ribosomal RNA, 497 nt
Filed under: uncultured bacterium
Lineage: Bacteria
Description: partial 16S ribosomal RNA
Rfam family: Bacterial small subunit ribosomal RNA
Source: RNAcentral